RNAcentral lists this ribosomal RNA (802 nucleotides) under uncultured Bacillota bacterium. RNAcentral describes it as "bacterial SSU rRNA". It matches the Rfam family "Bacterial small subunit ribosomal RNA", at positions 1 to 792 of the family's 1533-position model. The record is from RNAcentral. Lineage: Bacteria; Bacillati; Bacillota.
AGGAGAGUUUGAUCCUGGCUCAGAACGAACGCCGGCGGCGCGUCUUAAGCAUGCAAGUCGUGCGGGAUUGUAGUGCUUGCACUACAUGAGAGCGGCGGACUGGCGAGCAACACGUGGGUGACGCACCCCCUUCUAACCGGGACAGCCGGCAGAAAUGCCGGGUGAUACCGGAUGAGCUCCCGCAUCCUGGAAGUGCGGGAGGAAAGGGGCUUCGGCCCCGCCGGGGGAGCGGCCCGCGGCCCAUCAGCUAGUUGGCGGGGAAAAGGCCCACCAAGGCGAUGACGGGUACCCGGACUGAGAGGUUGGCCGGGCACAUUGGGACUGAGAUACGGCCCAGACUCCUACGGGAGGCAGCAGCUAAGAAUAUUCCGCAAUGCGCGAAAGCGUGACGGAGCGACGCCGCGUGGGCGAUGGAGGCCGGAAGGUUGUAAAGCCCUUUAGCGCGCGAGGAAUAAGGCCGGGAGGGAAUGCCCGGCGGGUGACUGUAGCGCGAGAAUAAGCACCGGCUAAUUACGUGCCAGCAGCCGCGGUAACACGUAAGGUGCUAGCGUUGUUCGGAAUCAUUGGGCGUAAAGGGUAUGUAAGCGGCGCGCAAAGUCGGGCGUGAAAUCACGGGGCUCAACCCCGUGGCUGCGCCCGAUACUGGUGCGCUUGAGUCGGCGAAGCGGGACCGGAAUUCCUGGUGUAGGGGUGAAAUCUGUAGAUAUCAGGAAGAACACCGGUGGCGAAGGCAGGUCCCGGGCGCACGACUGACGUUGAGGUACGAAGGUGCGGGGAGCGAACAGGAUUAGAUACCCUGCCU